This 111-nucleotide non-coding RNA is filed under the name Paraburkholderia phymatum. RNAcentral describes it as "Burkholderia phymatum Glycine sequence". It matches the Rfam family "Glycine riboswitch aptamer". Rfam says of the family: This family represents the bacterial glycine riboswitch. Glycine riboswitches usually consist of two metabolite-binding aptamers domains with similar structures in tandem. The record is from RNAcentral. Lineage: Bacteria; Pseudomonadati; Pseudomonadota; Betaproteobacteria; Burkholderiales; Burkholderiaceae.
CCGCACGCGUCGGGAGAGCGCGCCGUUUGCUGUCGUCCGUAGUCACAGCAUGCAGCGCCGCCGAAGGGGCACACCCGCAAACUCUCAGGCAAAAGGACCGAACGCGUCGAA